AUGAUUCUGAAGGCAACCAUUCUGGGGUUUACUAGGGAAAGAGAGAGGGAAAACAAUCUAUUCCCUCUCUCCAUCUUUUUGGCUCCAUUCCAUCUCUAUCACACUCUGGUCCUGAAUUCAGAGAAUAGAUUUUUCCUACUCUUCAGAGGAACUUACAUGACUGAAGCACCUGUUUACCAGAAAGGAUGCUAUUUUAGUAUAACAAGUUUAAGUAUUCAGAGAUGCUGAAUUCUGGACUCAGCAAAGGAUAGGACCACAGCAAUUAAUCCCUUCCAGUUCACACAGACUAUAUAAGCUUUAAGCUACUCUGACUUCAAGAUUGGUUUACUGGAGGACCCAAUACAAUCAAUAAUUUCCCCUAGCCUCAGGAGUCUCAUCUCUAAAGUGAGGAGAAGGCAUCAUUUGACAAAAAGAUCUGUGUAUGAAUAAAACAAGUUGUUUCCUCAUUUGUUGAAAGCAAGAGCAAAAAUGACCCAAUUUUUGGACCAAAGAGGAGCCAGUUUUUUCUGCUAACAGUCCAGUUGCACAUAUGAGGAAAUAUGAUGUAAAGAAGGGAGAGCAAAUUUUGGAAGUUAUAUCAUCUUAGACAGAAGAUGCAUAUUUUGGGCCACAUUUGAAGAAAGAGAAGAAGAAUAUAUCUUUAAGGCAGACAGAAAGCUCCCCACUGGUUUCUUUCAGGAUCACACUGCCAGAGUAGUGUUUGAGAGGCCACAGAAAUGGUCUGGAAAGCUGACAGUUGGGAUUUUCAGUUACUUUUCCACUGGAAAGAACAUAGAACUUGGAAUCAUGGGGCCCAAAAUCCAAAUUCUGGCUCUUCUAUUUAUUAUUUAUAAAUACUACCUGACUUUGAGGAAGUCAUUUAACCUCUUUGGACUCAGUUUCUUUAUCUGUAAAACAAAGAGGUUGGAGUUGAGGACUUCUAAAAUUUCUUCUAGUUCUUAUUUAUGACCCUAUGAUCCCAGAAGGCCCAGACAUAGAAGUUCAACUGUGAAAAAUAGUAUUUCCCAGCUUUGAAACCUAUGACUAAUGGAUGGAUGGUUGGAGUAAUGAUCUACUUAAUCCAUAAUCAGGAUCAUAUUCAUAAGUACAAGCUGCUCCUCUAGGUAAAGGUAACAUCAUAAUUCUGGGGUGCGUGCUUGUUAAAAAAACAACAUCCAACAAACAACAACAACAAAACAAACUCUAUAUGGUAUUUAUUGAAAAAGAAAA
Molecule: long non-coding RNA, 1209 nt
Organism: Monodelphis domestica (gray short-tailed opossum)
Lineage: Eukaryota; Metazoa; Chordata; Mammalia; Didelphimorphia; Didelphidae
Source: Ensembl